UGUCACAUAAAUCUCACAUCCGUCACAUAAAUAUCAUGCACAUCACAUAAAUGUCACAUUUAAACAAAUCCAUAAGUACAAAUCCACAAGUUCAUUACAAGUCCAUCUAAAUAAAUCCACAAGUCCAUCACAAGUCCAAAUAAGUAACACAAGUGCAUCGUAUGAGAACUGCGACUGUGUUGUACCAUGACACUGCGACUGUGGUGUACCAACCAAACAAAUACAUGCAAAGAGAACUACCCGGCUCCCCAAGGUCCCCACUGCGACUGUGGUGUACCAUGACCUGGAAUAUUCGAACCGGCGGAUGGAGGCUGCACAAAAGAGAUAUAGUAUUAUGGAGUACCGCGCGCGGAAGGUGGAGGUGGAGGUGGAUGAAUAGCGAAUAGCGAAGGUGGCGCAGCUAAACCCGUAUGUUGCCCAAGAAAUUGCAUGUACUGUAGAAUCUCCGCCAUCUGCUGUUGUUGUCGAUGCUGCUCCUCCACACGCUGGACCUCCAUAGCCUCUAUCCUCUGUCGAUCGGCCUCCCGCUGGGCCUCUAAAGCCUGGACCUGGGCCUACAACAUUACCAUAAUAUUUGAAUAAUGAGAAGCGAAGAUAUGUAAAUAUCAAGAAACAACUAAUAAAAUAGAAAUCACCUGAAGUGAAACAA
This is a long non-coding RNA of Sorghum bicolor (sorghum), 649 nucleotides long. RefSeq lists it as uncharacterized. The transcript has 2 exons. Lineage: Eukaryota; Viridiplantae; Streptophyta; Magnoliopsida; Poales; Poaceae. The record is from RefSeq and is a predicted model, not a curated record.